CGGGACGGCCCGCCAGAGGACCCCUAAACUCUGUUUCUAUAUGUAACUUCUGAGUAAAACCAUAAAUAAAUCAAAACUUUCAACAACGGAUCUCUUGGUUCUGGCAUCGAUGAAGAACGCAGCAAAAUGCGAUAAGUAAUGUGAAUUGCAGAAUUCAGUGAAUCAUCGAAUCUUUGAACGCACAUUGCGCCCGCCAGUAUUCUGGCGGGCAUGCCUGUUCGAGCGUCAUUUCAACCCUCAAGCACAGCUUGGUGUUGGGACUCGCGUUAAUUCGCGUUCCUCAAAUUGAUUGGCGGUCACGUCGAGCUUCCAUAGCGUAGUAGUAAAACCCUCGUUACUGGUAAUCGUCGCGGCCACGCCGUUAAACCCCAACUUCUGAAUGUUGACCUCGGAUCAGGUAGGAAUACCCGCUGAACUUAAGCAUAUCAAUAA
RNAcentral lists this ribosomal RNA (432 nucleotides) under Fusarium oxysporum f. sp. phaseoli. Its description in RNAcentral is "eukaryotic LSU rRNA". The stretch from base 75 to 228 matches the Rfam family "5.8S ribosomal RNA". Lineage: Eukaryota; Fungi; Ascomycota; Sordariomycetes; Hypocreales; Nectriaceae. The record is from RNAcentral.